GUGCCAGCCGCCGCGGUAAUACGUAGGUGGCAAGCGUUAUCCGGAAUUAUUGGGCGUAAAGCGCGUGUAGGCGGUUUUUUAAGUCUGAUGUGAAAGCCCACGGCCCAACCGUGGAGGGUCAUUGGAAACUGGAAAACUUGAGUGCAGAAGAGGAAAGUGGAAUUCCAUGUGUAGCGGUGAAAUGCACAGAGAUAUGGAGGAACACCAGUGGCGAAGGCGACUUUCUGGUCUGUAACUGACGCUGAUGUGCGAAAGCGUGGGGAUCAAACAGGAUUAGAUACCCCCGUAGUCC
Molecule: ribosomal RNA, 292 nt
Filed under: uncultured prokaryote
Description: partial 16S ribosomal RNA
Rfam family: Bacterial small subunit ribosomal RNA
Source: RNAcentral